ACGGGUGAGUAAUGCCUAGGAAUCUGCCUGGUAGUGGGGGACAACGUCUCGAAAGGGACGCUAAUACCGCAUACGUCCUACGGGAGAAAGCAGGGGACCUUCGGGCCUUGCGCUAUCAGAUGAGCCUAGGUCGGAUUAGCUAGUUGGUGAGGUAGUGGCUCACCAAGGCAACGAUCCGUAACUGGUCUGAGAGGAUGAUCAGUCACACUGGAACUGAGACACGGUCCAGACUCCUACGGGAGGCAGCAGUGGGGAAUAUUGGACAAUGGGCGAAAGCCUGAUCCAGCCAUGCCGCGUGUGUGAAGAAGGUCUUCGGAUUGUAAAGCACUUUAAGUUGGGAGGAAGGGCAGCUAAUUAAUACUUCGCUGUUUUGACGUUACCGACAGAAUAAGCACCGGCUAACUCUGUGCCAGCAGCCGCGGUAAUACAGAGGGUGCAAGCGUUAAUCGGAAUUACUGGGCGUAAAGCGCGCGUAGGUGGUUUGUUAAGUUGAAUGUGAAAUCCCCGGGCUCAACCUGGGAACUGCAUCCAAAACUGGCAAGCUAGAGUAGGGCAGAGGGUGGUGGAAUUUCCUGUGUAGCGGUG
This 585-nucleotide ribosomal RNA is filed under the name uncultured bacterium. RNAcentral's name for it is "bacterial SSU rRNA". It matches the Rfam family "Bacterial small subunit ribosomal RNA", at positions 102 to 683 of the family's 1533-position model. The record is from RNAcentral.